This 1248-nucleotide long non-coding RNA is filed under the name Citrus x clementina. RNAcentral's name for it is "Citrus clementina (C. clementina) long non-coding RNA (CCLE_LNC004948)". The record is from RNAcentral. Lineage: Eukaryota; Viridiplantae; Streptophyta; Magnoliopsida; Sapindales; Rutaceae.
GGGGGCGUGGGCGAAGUUCGUCCGCCGGACUCGGAAUGGCCCCAGACUUUGCGGGCGGCCUCCGUGUGCCAAAAUUAGGCCACGGGCACAGCCGCGCCCAAAAAUCAGCCCCCGAAGGUCGGGGCGCCAAGACCCCCCAGCGGAAAAAUGGCCAAAAAACGGGUGGGCUAUAGCCUUGGUGGGGGGCGUGGGCGAAGUUCGUCCGCCGGACUCGGACUGGCCCCAGACUUUGCGGGCGGCCUCCGUUGGCCAAUAUUAGGCAACGGGCACAGCCGCGCCCAAAAAUCAUCCCCCGAAGGUCGGGGCGCCAAGACGCCCCAGCGGAAAAAUGGCCAAAAAACGGGUGGGCUAUAGCCUUGGUGGGGGGCGUGGGUGAAGUUCGUCCGCCGGACUCGGAAUGGCCCCAGACUUUGCGGGCGGCCUCCGUUGGCCAAUAUUAGGCAACGGGCACAGCCGCGCCCAAAAAUCAUCCCCCGAAGGUCGGGGCGCCAAGACGCCCCAGCGGAAAAAUGGCCAACAAACGGGUGGGCUAUAGCCUUGGUGGGGGGCGUGGGCGAAGUUCGUCCGCCGGACUCGGAAUGGCCCCAGACUUUGCGGGCGGCCUCCGUUUGCCAAUAUUAGGCAACGGGCACAGCCGCGCCCAAAAAUCAGCCCCCGAAGGUCGGGGUGCCAAGACCCCCCAGCGGAAAAAUGGCCAAAAAACGGGUGGGCUAUAGCCUUGGUGGGGGGCGUGGGCGAAGUUCGUCCGCCGGACUCGGAAUGGCCCCAGACUUUGGGGGCGGCCUCCGUGUGCCAAAAUUGGGCCACGGGCACACCCGCGCCCAAAAAUCAGCCCCCGAAGGUCGGGGUGCCAAGACCCCCCAGCGGAAAAAUGGCCAAAAAACGGGUGGGCUAUAGCCUUGGUGGGGGGAGUGGGCGAAGUUCGUCCGCCGGACUCGGAAUGGCCCCAGACUUUGCGGGCGGCCUCCGUGUGCCAAAAUUAGGGCACGGGCACAGCCGCGCCCAAAAAUCAGCCCCCGAAUGUCGGGGCGCCAAGACCCCCCAGCGGAAAAAUGGCCAAAAAACGGGUGGGCUAUAGCCUUCGUGGGGGGCGUGGGCGAAGUUCGUCCGCCGGACUCGGAAUGGCCCCAGACUUUGGGGGCGGCCUCCGUGUGCCAAAAUUAGGCCACGGGCACACCCGCGCCCAAAAAUCAGCCCCCGAAGGUCGGGGUGCAAAGACCCCCCAGCGGAAAAAUGGCCAAAAAAAGG